This 468-nucleotide ribosomal RNA is filed under the name uncultured bacterium. RNAcentral's name for it is "partial 16S ribosomal RNA". It matches the Rfam family "Bacterial small subunit ribosomal RNA", at positions 28 to 507 of the family's 1533-position model. The record is from RNAcentral.
GACGAACGCUGGCGGCGUGCUUAACACAUGCAAGUCGAACGGAAAGGCCCUGCUUUUGUGGGGUGCUCGAGUGGCGAACGGGUGAGUAACACGUGAGUAACCUGCCCUUGACUUUGGGAUAACUUCAGGAAACUGGGGCUAAUACCGGAUAGGAGCUCCUGCUGCAUGGUGGGGGUUGGAAAGUUUCGGCGGUUGGGGAUGGACUCGCGGCUUAUCGGCUUGUUGGUGGGGUAGUGGCUUACCAAGGCUUUGACGGGUAGCCGGCCUGAGAGGGUGACCGGCCACAUUGGGACGGAGAUACGGCCCAGACUACUACGGGAGGCAGCAGUGGGGAAUAUUGCACAAUGGGCGGGAGCCUGAUGCAGCAACGCCGCGUGCGGGAUGACGGCCUUCGGGUUGUAAACCGCUUUCGCCUGUGACGAAGCGUGAGUGACGGUAAUGGGUAAAGAAGCACCGGCUAACUACGUG